Molecule: ribosomal RNA, 510 nt
Filed under: uncultured bacterium
Lineage: Bacteria
Description: bacterial SSU rRNA
Rfam family: Bacterial small subunit ribosomal RNA
Source: RNAcentral
GACAUGUUCGUCGCGACUCUAAGAGAUUAGAGUUUUCGGUUCGGCCGGACGAUACACAGGUGCUGCAUGGCUGUCGUCAGCUCGUGUCGUGAGAUGUUGGGUUAAGUCCCGCAACGAGCGCAACCCUCACUUUUAGUUGCCAUCAUUAAGUUGGGCACUCUGAAAGUACUGCCAGUGAUAAGCUGGAGGAAGGUGGGGAUGACGUCAAGUCCUCAUGGCCCUUACGUGUUGGGCUACACACGUGCUACAAUGGUAUCUACAACAGGAAGCAAAACUGCGAAGUUAAGCAAAUCCCUAAAAGAUACCUCAGUUCGGAUUGCACUCUGCAACUCGAGAGCAUGAAGCUGGAAUUACUAGUAAUCGUGGAUCAGCGUGCCACGGUGAAUGCGUUCCCGGGUCUUGUACACACCGCCCGUCACACCAUGGGAGUUGGUUCUACCUUAAGGCAAGGUUUCAAACCCUUGACCACGGUAUAGUCAGCGACUGGGGUGAAGUCGUAACAAGGUAACC